GAUGAACGCUGGCGGCGUGCCUAAUACAUGCAAGUCGAGCGAACAGACGAGGAGCUUGCUCCUCUGACGUUAGCGGCGGACGGGUGAGUAACACGUGGAUAACCUACCUAUAAGACUGGGAUAACUUCGGGAAACCGGAGCUAAUACCGGAUAAUAUAUUGAACCGCAUGGUUCAAUAGUGAAAGACGGUUUUGCUGUCACUUAUAGAUGGAUCCGCGCCGCAUUAGCUAGUUGGUAAGGUAACGGCUUACCAAGGCAACGAUGCGUAGCCGACCUGAGAGGGUGAUCGGCCACACUGGAACUGUGACACGGUCCAGACUCCUACGGGCGGCAGCAGUAGGGAAUCUUCCGCAAUGGGCGAAAGCCUGACGGAGCAACGCCGCGUGAGUGAUGAAGGUCUUCGGAUCGUAAAACUCUGUUAUUAGGGAAGAACAAAUGUGUAAGUAACUAUGCACGUCUUGACGGUACCUAAUCAGAAAGCCACGGCUAACUACGUG
Molecule: ribosomal RNA, 497 nt
Filed under: uncultured bacterium
Lineage: Bacteria
Description: partial 16S ribosomal RNA
Rfam family: Bacterial small subunit ribosomal RNA
Source: RNAcentral